RNAcentral lists this transfer RNA (73 nucleotides) under Patescibacteria group bacterium. RNAcentral's name for it is "tRNA-Ser". It matches the Rfam family "tRNA". From Rfam's summary of the family: Transfer RNA (tRNA) molecules are approximately 80 nucleotides in length. Their secondary structure includes four short double-helical elements and three loops (D, anti-codon, and T loops). RNAcentral also lists the same sequence under 2 other names. The record is from RNAcentral.
GGGCCUGUGGUGUAAGCGGUUAACAUACUGCCCUUGACACGCAGUGAUACGGGUUCAAUUCCCGUCGGGUCCA